GGUUAAGCGACUAAGCGUACACGGUGGAUGCCCUGGCAGUCAGAGGCGAUGAAGGACGUGCUAAUCUGCGAUAAGCGUCGGUAAGGUGAUAUGAACCGUUAUAACCGGCGAUUUCCGAAUGGGGAAACCCAGUGUGAUUCGUCACACUAUCAUUAACUGAAUCCAUAGGUUAAUGAGGCGAACCGGGGGAACUGAAACAUCUAAGUACCCCGAGGAAAAGAAAUCAACCGAGAUUCCCCCAGUAGCGGCGAGCGAACGGGGAGCAGCCCAGAGCCUGAAUCAGUGUGUGUGUUAGUGGAAGCGUCUGGAAAGGCGCGCGAUACAGGGUGACAGCCCCGUACACAAAAAUGCACAUGCUGUGAGCUCGAUGAGUAGGGCGGGACACGUGGUAUCCUGUCUGAAUAUGGGGGGGACCAUCCUCCAAGGCUAAAUACUCCUGACUGACCGAUAGUGAACCAGUACCGUGAGGGAAAGGCGAAAAGAACCCCGGCGAGGGGAGUGAAAAAGAACCUGAAACCGUGUACGUACAAGCAGUGGGAGCACGCUUAGGCGUGUGACUGCGUACCUUUUGUAUAAUGGGUCAGCGACUUAUAUUCUGUAGCAAGGUUAACCGAAUAGGGGAGCCGAAGGGAAACCGAGUCUUAACUGGGCGUUAAGUUGCAGGGUAUAGACCCGAAACCCGGUGAUCUAGCCAUGGGCAGGUUGAAGGUUGGGUAACACUAACUGGAGGACCGAACCGACUAAUGUUGAAAAAUUAGCGGAUGACUUGUGGCUGGGGGUGAAAGGCCAAUCAAACCGGGAGAUAGCUGGUUCUCCCCGAAAGCUAUUUAGGUAGCGCCUCGUGAAUUCAUCUCCGGGGGUAGAGCACUGUUUCGGCAAGGGGGUCAUCCCGACUUACCAACCCGAUGCAAACUGCGAAUACCGGAGAAUGUUAUCACGGGAGACACACGGCGGGUGCUAACGUCCGUCGUGAAGAGGGAAACAACCCAGACCGCCAGCUAAGGUCCCAAAGUCAUGGUUAAGUGGGAAACGAUGUGGGAAGGCCCAGACAGCCAGGAUGUUGGCUUAGAAGCAGCCAUCAUUUAAAGAAAGCGUAAUAGCUCACUGGUCGAGUCGGCCUGCGCGGAAGAUGUAACGGGGCUAAACCAUGCACCGAAGCUGCGGCAGCGACGCUUAUGCGUUGUUGGGUAGGGGAGCGUUCUGUAAGCCUGUGAAGGUGUGCUGUGAGGCAUGCUGGAGGUAUCAGAAGUGCGAAUGCUGACAUAAGUAACGAUAAAGCGGGUGAAAAGCCCGCUCGCCGGAAGACCAAGGGUUCCUGUCCAACGUUAAUCGGGGCAGGGUGAGUCGACCCCUAAGGCGAGGCCGAAAGGCGUAGUCGAUGGGAAACAGGUUAAUAUUCCUGUACUUGGUGUUACUGCGAAGGGGGACGGAGAAGGCUAUGUUGGCCGGGCGACGGUUGUCCCGGUUUAAGCGUGUAGGCUGGUUUUCCAGGCAAAUCCGGAAAAUCAAGGCUGAGGCGUGAUGACGAGGCACUACGGUGCUGAAGCAACAAAUGCCCUGCUUCCAGGAAAAGCCUCUAAGCAUCAGGUAACAUCAAAUCGUACCCCAAACCGACACAGGUGGUCAGGUAGAGAAUACCAAGGCGCUUGAGAGAACUCGGGUGAAGGAACUAGGCAAAAUGGUGCCGUAACUUCGGGAGAAGGCACGCUGAUAUGUAGGUGAAGUCCCUCGCGGAUGGAGCUGAAAUCAGUCGAAGAUACCAGCUGGCUGCAACUGUUUAUUAAAAACACAGCACUGUGCAAACACGAAAGUGGACGUAUACGGUGUGACGCCUGCCCGGUGCCGGAAGGUUAAUUGAUGGGGUCAGCGCAAGCGAAGCUCUUGAUCGAAGCCCCGGUAAACGGCGGCCGUAACUAUAACGGUCCUAAGGUAGCGAAAUUCCUUGUCGGGUAAGUUCCGACCUGCACGAAUGGCGUAAUGAUGGCCAGGCUGUCUCCACCCGAGACUCAGUGAAAUUGAACUCGCUGUGAAGAUGCAGUGUACCCGCGGCAAGACGGAAAGACCCCGUGAACCUUUACUAUAGCUUGACACUGAACAUUGAGCCUUGAUGUGUAGGAUAGGUGGGAGGCUUAGAAGUGUGGACGCCAGUCUGCAUGGAGCCGACCUUGAAAUACCACCCUUUAAUGUUUGAUGUUCUAACGUUGACCCGUAAUCCGGGUUGCGGACAGUGUCUGGUGGGUAGUUUGACUGGGGCGGUCUCCUCCUAAAGAGUAACGGAGGAGCACGAAGGUUGGCUAAUCCUGGUCGGACAUCAGGAGGUUAGUGCAAUGGCAUAAGCCAGCUUGACUGCGAGCGUGACGGCGCGAGCAGGUGCGAAAGCAGGUCAUAGUGAUCCGGUGGUUCUGAAUGGAAGGGCCAUCGCUCAACGGAUAAAAGGUACUCCGGGGAUAACAGGCUGAUACCGCCCAAGAGUUCAUAUCGACGGCGGUGUUUGGCACCUCGAUGUCGGCUCAUCACAUCCUGGGGCUGAAGUAGGUCCCAAGGGUAUGGCUGUUCGCCAUUUAAAGUGGUACGCGAGCUGGGUUUAGAACGUCGUGAGACAGUUCGGUCCCUAUCUGCCGUGGGCGCUGGAGAACUGAGGGGGGCUGCUCCUAGUACGAGAGGACCGGAGUGGACGCAUCACUGGUGUUCGGGUUGUCAUGCCAAUGGCACUGCCCGGUAGCUAAAUGCGGAAGAGAUAAGUGCUGAAAGCAUCUAAGCACGAAACUUGCCCCGAGAUGAGUUCUCCCUGACUCCUUGAGAGUCCUGAAGGAACGUUGAAGACGACGACGUUGAUAGGCCGGGUGUGUAAGCGCAGCGAUGCGUUGAGCUAACCGGUACUAAUGAACCGUGAGGCUUAACCUU
RNAcentral lists this ribosomal RNA (2904 nucleotides) under Escherichia coli. RNAcentral describes it as "23S ribosomal RNA". It matches the Rfam family "Bacterial large subunit ribosomal RNA". Lineage: Bacteria; Pseudomonadati; Pseudomonadota; Gammaproteobacteria; Enterobacterales; Enterobacteriaceae. The record is from RNAcentral.